GUUGCUGAGGAACUCUCUGCAGCCUUUACUCUAGUUAAGGGCUGAACCCUGUAGUCUUAAUCUUUAAUUAGCUUUCCCUUGACCACUCUGCAAGGCUUACUACUGGAAGGCUUCUCCCUAGGGUGAUGAAGACACCUGCUUGAGAUUUCAGCUGUCUCACUGGGCGUAGACAUGAAGUGUUUACCAUCAAGAAGACAAAGAAGUUCGGUGACAUUUUUUACUUCAUUUCAGUUUGAGCUGGAAACUCCUCCUGUGCCUAGAGGAAGAAUUGCUUUCUGAAUGCAAAAGAAGAUUCAUUGCAACAUCUAUCACAAGGCAACUUCCUACCGAGCACCCACCUCAAAGCCUAACUCCUCAGGUCUCCCCAUUGUAAAUGAUGGGAAACAGGUACCAUCGGAAAAAGACACAAUCCAAGACCCUAAUGCAAGCACUCAGGACUGCUUUCUAAAAACAUUUUUCUCUCUCUUCAUUGACUAUAGAUAACAGCUUGGAAAAUGUGGCUAUAGUCUGGCAUUUACAGAAAGCUGGCUGGCUCAAUACACACUGGCAGUGUCAUCAACCAAUCGUGAUUACAGUGUUUAUAAUUGUAUUCUCCUUUUCCUCUUCUUGCUGGGCUUUUGAUUGCUGCAAGCAACCUCACUCUCAGUUUCUGCAUUGCAGCCUGAGUUUUCAAAACCAGAAGUUGCACUGAUAUAGGCAGUUCCCUGGAGCCUACAGCUUCACUUUGAUAACUGCUUUUUCUAACUGAAUGUUUUGCAUCUCAUGUGGGUGACUACCAUAUCAGCCUAAUACUGUCAAAUAGGAUUUUCCUCUGCUAGAAAGGAGGUUUCUUCCACCUUAUGGUCUUUAGUCAUAGGAGGAUUUCCUCCUCCUUCUCCCAGCCAGGAAGCAGUAAUAAUUCGCUGAGCUUUCCAGUGCUGGGCCAUGAAAUGGGCAACACCUUCAUACCUGGGGAAAAUGGGAAAAGGGAAAAUCUCAUCGGGUGUGCUUGAAGUCAUUUGGCUGUCUGAGGAAACAGUCUGGCUCCCCUUCAGUCACCCAGGCCAGCUGCCCCUGGGACGUUGUGGCAUGCAAACCAUUAGUUGUUUGUGCAUCAGACACCCAGCCUCUAAAAUCUUCAAGGCUCUUCGGGCAAAAUUUCUUCUCCGCUUUCUGGGAUUGCUUUGGUGGUAAUACAGAAUCUAUCGACCUUGCUUUUCUUGAAGUGACCUCAAAAAAAUUCUCUUGUCUUCACUUAUCAUCAGACAGUUUUUCCUCUGUGUCAGAGAAGACGAGCUACUAACUCACUUUUCUAGGUCCAACACAUAUACUCAAAGGCUCUGUGCAGCAACAACCCUACCACAGAGAGCAAGCCCAGUAUAUUGAGCAUUAGAGUGGUGCUAUUUGUGCACAUAUGUUCAGCUGGAAGGAUGCGUCUCCAAACCAUAUUUGGAUAGCUCUAUAUGAAGAUGUCUGCUGAAAUAUUUUUUUGUGUCUCUGGCCACAAAUUCUUUGGACUCGGCUUGUUAGACUUUCCACAAUUUGCUGCAUUCUCUUUCCGGACUAAAAGGAACUUGUUCUUGUACAGACCCUCUUGACAUGAUCCCUUCUUUCAAAAGACUGAUUACAUCGUCACUUUCUGUUUCUUUCCUGGCAACUGCAUCCUUCAUGAUCCAGAUCGCUGCCUCAUCCCAGCUGUUACCAAGGCCCUGUGACUUCUGCUGAUCUUGGUACCCCAUAUCAAUUGGUAA
Long non-coding RNA from Cuculus canorus (common cuckoo), 1730 nucleotides. RefSeq lists it as uncharacterized. The record is from RefSeq and is a predicted model, not a curated record. The transcript is spliced from 3 exons. Lineage: Eukaryota; Metazoa; Chordata; Aves; Cuculiformes; Cuculidae.